CUCUUGUUUCUCUUCCGUUAACACAGUGAGAAUGAACUACAUAUCUGGGAGAAGCAGUAUGGCUCAUUGAAGUGAGGCCUGUACAGUGAAUUCUGACCUCAGUCCUGUCUUACCUUGGGCACUGUAACGAGGGCCAGACACACAGAGUUUUCUCCGAGUACUUGCUGGAUUGGCCUGGUCAGGAAGAGGCAUCUAAUGGAACCAAGGAAAAAAGACUGGAAGGACCAGCAGGCUCGUGGAGAGUUUGUCACCUCAGUCCAGGAGUGUGUACAGUGCCGAAGGCUGCCUUUGUGGGCAUCAGUAUUGGCUGCCGGUUAAUGCACCCACUUGAUGGAGAGGCUGUGAUUAAAAAACAGUAAUGAUAAUUUUAUUAAACUCCCUCAACCGUGAGUUGCUUGAUUCAUUAACUUCCUAAUUUUAAUAAAUUAUGUGCAUAUAUUGAUAUAGGGA
This 450-nucleotide long non-coding RNA is filed under the name Ursus americanus (American black bear). Its description in RNAcentral is "lncRNA (ENSUAMG00000002070.1)". Lineage: Eukaryota; Metazoa; Chordata; Mammalia; Carnivora; Ursidae. The record is from RNAcentral.